Molecule: small RNA, 897 nt
Filed under: Malus domestica (apple)
Lineage: Eukaryota; Viridiplantae; Streptophyta; Magnoliopsida; Rosales; Rosaceae
Description: sRNA MD14G0100200
Source: RNAcentral
UCCUCUGUUCCAAUUAAGCUUCUAGAAAUUCAAAGCCAACUUGCUGUCUGGAUGAUUAUAUUGAUUCGGGGAUGCACUGGCGUCCAUAGUUUACAGCUUGCAGCUCCCAUUAAGAGUUGCUAUUAUUUGUCCUAAAGAAUGCUCAUAUCUUUUCUGUAGCUCCCUUAUUGUGGCCAGUACUUGUGGUUGCACCUUUGGCCGCCAUUGUUGCCAGUCAACCUGUUAUCUCUUCCACAUUCUCAGUUGUCAAGUAAUGCAAUGCCAUAUGAUGUUUCCCUAGCAUCAAGGUUGUAGUCAAGGUUGUACAUACAAAGAGAUGGAUACCUGGCCAGAUAUACAUCCCUGAGUUGAGUUGGUUUCUUCAUGAUCCUCAGUUUGGCUGUCACAAUUGGUUUUCGAGACACAAUUCGUAUAGCAAAUGCUUAUGUCAUAACGACGUGGCUGGCAUCGCUUGUCAUCAACCUUGUUUGGCAUCAGGGUUUCAUGCUGUCCCUUUUUAUUUCGUGAACUUUUCGGUUCAGUUGAAGCCGUCUACCUUUCAUCUUUGUGUGUGAGAAUCCUCAAAGGUACAUGGCUUCCCCUAGUUUAAGUCUGCAGUCGUCGUGGUAGUUAUGUAUCACUGGCAAUAUGGCACGCAGAAGAAGUAUUUGUAUGACUUGCAUAACGAGGUUUCAAUGCUCACGCUGGGUCCCAGUCUUGGCAUUGUUAGGGUCUCUAGAAUCAGCCUCAUCUACACUGAGUUGUCUACCGGAGUCCCAGAAUCAUUUACUCAUUUCUUAACCAACCUACUGGCGCUUUUACCAAGUGAUUGCCUUUGUUUGCGUUGUAAAGACAUAUGGGAAGUUUGGCACGGUGUUGGUUAUGGCACAAACAUCUGGCCUUGGAGAGAGCAGCUGU